This 253-nucleotide ribosomal RNA is filed under the name uncultured bacterium. Its description in RNAcentral is "partial 16S ribosomal RNA". It matches the Rfam family "Bacterial small subunit ribosomal RNA", at positions 524 to 776 of the family's 1533-position model. The record is from RNAcentral.
UACAGAGGGUGCGAGCGUUGUCCGGAAUUACUGGGCGUAAAGCGCACGUAGGCGGUGUUCCAUGUCAGAGGUGAAAGCCUGGGGCUCAACUCCAGAAUUGCCUUUGAAACGGGAACGCUUGAGUCCGAGAGAGGGUGGCGGAAUUCCUAGUGUAGAGGUGAAAUUCGUAGAUAUUAGGAAGAACACCAGUGGCGAAGGCGGCCACCUGGCUCGGUACUGACGCUCAGGUUCGAAAGCGUGGGGAGCAAACAGG